GUGAGGAAGAAGGCCGUGGGGUAUAAACUCCUUUUCUCAGAGAAGAAGUUCUGACGGUAUCUGAGGAAUAAGCUCCGGCUAACUCUGUGCCAGCAGCCGCGGUAAUACAGAGGGAGCAAGCGUUAUCCGGAAUGAUUGGGCGUAAAGCGUCUGUAGGUGGUUCUUUAAGUCUACUGUCAAAUACGUUGGCUCAACCAACGGCAGGCAGUGGAGUACUAAAGGACUAGAGUUCGGUAGAGGUAGAGGGAAUCCCUAGCGUAACAGUGAAAUGUGUAGAUUUUAGGGAGAACACCAGUGGCGAAGGCGCUCUACUGGGCCGAGACUGACACUGAGAGACGAAAGCUAGAGGAGCGAAUAGGAUUAGAUACCCUACUAGUUCUAGCUGUAAACGAUGGAAACUAAGUGGCGGCUUUGUCGCUGCUGUAGCUAACGCGUUAAAGUUUCCCGCCUGAGGAGUAUGCUCGCAAGAGUGAAACUCAAAGGAAUUGACGGGGACCUGCACAAGAGGUGGAUUA
Molecule: ribosomal RNA, 515 nt
Filed under: uncultured bacterium
Lineage: Bacteria
Description: bacterial SSU rRNA
Rfam family: Bacterial small subunit ribosomal RNA
Source: RNAcentral